UGGGGAAUAUUGGACAAUGGGGGGAACCCUGAUCCAGCCAUGCCGCGUGUGUGAAGAAGGCCUUAUGGUUGUAAAGCACUUUAAGCGAGGAGGAGGGUACUGGUAUUAAUACUACCAGGUACUGGACGUUACUCGCAGAAUAAGCACCGGCUAACUCUGUGCCAGCAGCCGCGGUAAUACAGAGGGUGCGAGCGUUAAUCGGAUUUACUAGGCGUAAAGCGUGCGUAGGCGGCUAAUUGAGUCGGAUGUGAAAUCCCCGAGCUUAACUUGGGAAUUGCAUUCGAUACUGGUUAGCUUGAGUGUGGGAGAGGAUGGUAGAAUUCCAGGUGUAGCGGUGAAAUGCGUAGAGAUCUGGAGGAAUACCGAUGGCGAAGGCAGCCAUCUGGCCUAACACUGACGCUGAGGUACGAAAGCAUGGGGAGCAAACAGG
This 430-nucleotide ribosomal RNA is filed under the name Pseudomonadota bacterium. Its description in RNAcentral is "Proteobacteria bacterium partial 16S ribosomal RNA". It matches the Rfam family "Bacterial small subunit ribosomal RNA", at positions 355 to 776 of the family's 1533-position model. The record is from RNAcentral. Lineage: Bacteria; Pseudomonadati; Pseudomonadota.